Molecule: long non-coding RNA, 7973 nt
Organism: Helicoverpa armigera (cotton bollworm)
Lineage: Eukaryota; Metazoa; Arthropoda; Insecta; Lepidoptera; Noctuidae
Exons: 2
Source: RefSeq, a predicted model, not a curated record
AUGUUAGACUAAUAUUAUCCUGUGUUGUUCUGUAUGUUAUAUUCUCUUUUCAUACAUUAAGGAACUAUACUAUAUUUACCGAAGUAUACUAAAUCAUUUUAGUUUUAUACGGACAACACUACCUCUACUGUGAGGACAACACUAAAAAGAGAUUUUGACAGUUAGAGCGCGCGCUUUUCCAUGCACUUCCUUCGUGGACUGAUAAACUAUGUUUUCUUACGAUUGAUAUUAAAUUGUGUUUUAAAAGUGAAUACAAGAAGUUAUAGUGAUACGAAUUGACGUUUUAUUUCUGAUUAAGGCUAGGAGAUCAUACCCUAGCUUAUAUCAGAAGCGGGAAGAACAGAAAACGCCUAAUGACCAAUGGGGCGCGAAUGCUCCGAAUACAAUAAAAUUAAUGAUCACGCCACACUAUGCGAAACACUUAAACGAAGACGAGAUGACCACAGCACUGAUUGCUCAACCGCAAUAAUGUAUCAAGGACUUAUCUACUCAAGGAAAACAAAGCGACAUGGUCAACAACUUGUGGAGCCUAUAAUGACGACGACCAGACAAGAUUCUUGUGUGUAGAUUACUGCUUGACACACACUACGCCUGAUGGCGAUUAGACACCUUCUCCGCCGCGAUGCAACAGGUACCCGAGACAUUGGACAAUCAGGUAUAAGCAUUAAUAUUUUUUUUUCUCAUUCCAAUUAAUCCAUGGAAUAGAAAACAAUCAUUUAAUUGCCCAAACAUGUAUACAUGCAUACACACGCAGGUGCAUGCAUGUAGGAUAAUACAAUUAUUAAAGGUAUGUGCUUAAAACAUGUUUGCCACUUGUCAUGGCAUACAAAUAUAAAACCAGAAACAUUUAGCUCUAUAUACUAAAAACUAUCUGAGCUGACAUUUCAGAGCUUCGGUACUGAGUUUUCUCUAGGUUAUAGAUAUUUUGUUGUACAUAAUGGGUGCCAUUCAAAAUAUAAUUUAGCACAUAAGUGCAGUUUUACAUGGAUGUGAACAGAGUUUGCUAUUGAUCCAUUUGAUGCAUACAUUUUUAAGGUGAGUAAAUGUACAACAAUAUAUUUCAUUAGACAUCCAUAAACCAGCUGGGAACAUGACAGAUACUCUGAGGUAAACAUUUAUAUCCUGAGUAAUUAUGUAUGGUGUUAUUUUUGCUACACAUUGAAUACAUAAAAUAUUCAUGAGAAAAGAGUAAAUAAAGCAAGUAAAGCUAAUUGCAUAGUUCAUGGGGAUGAUGGCCAAACGAUUUGGUGUUAAUGCAUUAUUUACAUACAUUACUGAAAUAGACAAAGGAAGUACCUAUAAAAUAAGUAAAUAGGAUAUAACAAUAGGAUAUUCAUGAUAUAAAGCCAAUAUUACAAUAAUUAAAAUUGAAAUAAUCAUAAUCACUUACAAAUAGAGGUAGAAAAUAAAGUGGUUAAUUGACAACCAACAAAAACCGUGCGACACAGCUCUUGACUAUUCUAUGUACAUCCAAAGCGGUGAUAACAGGUAUUAAUAAUGGAUAAUCAAAUACUUUAAAGUACUAUAAACACUAAACUGGUUUUUAUUAAUAAAGUAACUAUGAAACUAAAUGCUUCAAGCCAGUAUGUUUCAGACAGUAAGUAUGUUUUACCAAUAUCUUGGUACUGCCAAUAGCAUACAUCAUUGUUAAGUAAAACUUCAUUCCAAGCAAAUAUCAUUGCUUGUUAUUAUUUUAAAGAGUAUCUAAAGUGAAAAUUAUAAAAAUGGUAAUCUUUUUAAAUGAUCUUUUCCAUAUUAUUAACUGUAAAUUGCCUCACCUAGAAAAAGUUAAACUGCUUAUUCUAUCUGAAUGUUGGAUGAUAUUACAGCUAACAGGUACAUUAUAGGACUGUAACACAUUAAGGAUAGUUUAAUCACAGUAAAGAUGCAGCAAUUGUAGUAAAUAUUAUUUACUUAAAGGAUUUUACAGACUGAAGCAUAAUAAAUAAAUAUAAAUCAGUAGUGUCAAUUAAUCAGAAGAAAAUAUAACUCAGUAGUGUCAGUAAUCUGAGUAGCCAGAUCAGAUAUGUUCUUUUUAAAAGAUUUCAUUUUAAUUUGGAAUCCACCACUUGAUGCUGAGACCAGUUUUCUCAACCAUUAAAAAUAACCCGAAGUGCUUAAAGAUAUGUAUACUAGAAUCAAAUAAAUACAAAAUAAAGAAAUUUCGGCUUUGAAAUCUGAAUCGAAAGCAGUCUAUAUAUUAUUAACUUAAUAAAUGAAUAUGGCAAUUGGGUCAAUAAGAGAUAGGUUUGAGUUGGAACAAAACAACAUUAGUUAUACAUAAAAUUGUCUGAUACUACACAGGAGCUAUACCAUCAGAAUACAUUAUACCAUACUGAAAAAGAAGUAUGUGAGACAGUUAAAGAAUAAAAGACUAGGCAAUUAAUAAGUAAUUUGUCCUAGCCCAUUAAAAAGUUGAAUGCAUACCAGGGCACUCAGUAAAACAUAUAGAUUAUUAUAAAUAAACUGAACCUGAACUUUUAUGGAUGGUAACGAUACGAGUUAACAUUUCUCUCUAUACUCUCUUUAUGACAGGAAAUCUUGUAAUUUCCUGGGAGGUAAGACAUUUUAUUCUGAGACUAAAUUUCAGCACAUAUUGUAUGUUAGACCUUCUCUCACAGAAAAUUACAUGUACAGUUUAUGAUGAUUUUCUUGAUUGAUGUUGUGAGUCUAUUCUGACCACUUAUAAAAUAGGAACCAAGAUUGUGGAGGAUCAGAGGAGUGAAUUCAGUGGGGUGUCAACAACAUCUUUAACAAGUCAGUAAGUACAACCACAAGUGUUUUACAGUCAACAACUAAGAAAGAGCAUUGCUUAGUAUUUAUUAGUUUUGAACCAUUAAUUGAAAAAAAAACUGACUGAUAAAGAACAAUUUAUAUGGUGAUUGGAACUUAUAUUUAAAGAUGAUGACAUCUGGUUAUGUUUAUAUUCAUAUAUAUUUAUUUGCAUUCCAUAAUGUUACAAUAGAUGUUGAAGAGGCUUAAAACUAAGUAGGUACCAUUAUAGGCUCUGUUAGGGCACAGCUAAAGAAGGCAAUACUUUAAGGCACCAUAAAUAAAGAACCAUGAGUUAAACUAGGCUCAGGGGUACUUUGUUGUCACUUUGUUUGUAUUAAAAUUGUUUCUACGGCACCACCUUCAAUUCUGCUUUCGUAUCCCUCAUCAGGGAUAUAGUUCCGAAGGAGCAGAAAGCUUUUCCACUCACGCUUUACAACUUGUAGAGUUAUAAUUUGAUUAAAUGGUAUUAACUAAAAAGAAAAGCUUAAAUUGAGAAGUGUAGUGAUUUUAAUGAAUUGUUAAUUAAUAAAACAAUACCAGACGAAGAAAAUUGAAUGAAUAAAUUAAAGAUUUGUACAAUUUUACCUUGAUUAUCUGUUAUUAAUUCUUACGAGCCUCUGUAUUGAGAUGUGAAAUGAAUUGAAAGAUUCAUACUAAUUCAGUUUGGUUGUAUUGUUGAAUUAUUGAAAUAAGACUACAUAAAUAAACUUUGAUAAGUUCAUAGGUUGGAAGGUAUGCACUAUGUACUGUUUUAGCUGGUUCUAUUGUUUGUUGCUGAAAACAAACGACUCGAGGAAGAAAAUGGAUAUUAUGUAUUUAUAUAUUUUAACCACUACAAUAAGGGAUUAACAGAAACAAUUGUAAUGUUGUAACAAUUGUAACUUGUAGUGGUCUGAUUGAGUUUGAUUGUGUUGUUAAAUAAUAAUAAUAGAAGACAUGUAUUGAUUUAGUUCAACCAUAGGCAUUGCUCUAAUACAAAUAAGAGAUGGACAGAGAAAAAUGUAAUUACUUGUACAUUUCUCAUUUUAUUAUGUUGUUAAUUAUUAAAAACUAGCGACUGGAAUGCUAAUAAAGAAUUGAGUAUUGAAUAGACAAGAUAUAUUGUACUAGUUGUGAGAUAACGAAUAUAAAUAAGAGAUGGGCAGAGAAACUGACUAAAGAAUUUGUAUUAGCUACUUUGAUCAUAUUGAUGAUUAAUGGAUACUAAACGAGAUAAAAUAUGUAUACAUAUAUAUUGUAGUCAGAGAUAGAAGAUGUAAUAAAUUGAGAGAUUUGUAUAUUGUCCAGUUUGAGGAUAUUGACAAUUACGAGUCAUUUAUGAUUCUGAAUUUAAUACACGGAAGGAAUUGUGUAAGGACGGUUUUGUGUAAGGAGCCGCUUGUGAUAAUAUUAUUAAUCAAUAUUUAUAGAGAUCUUCAUUGACACAUAUCUACUUAAAAAGCUGUGUAUAUUUCUCAUAGCUCUCAAUUCUUCGAAACUAAGUCCUUAAAAAAAUAAAUUGUAUAUAUUGUGCCAAUAAAGUGUAAUUGUGAAGUAUAUAAAAUAAGACAGGAUAUUAAGCAAUUGUAUAUUGUAUUGAAGAUCAAUACAAGUGUAGUGACGCAGUUUAUGAAUCUAAGGCUGGAUAUUAAGAAAUUGUAUAUUGUAUUGUUAAUGUACAGUAGUCCAGGUACUGGAUAGAAAGAAGUUGUUUACUGUAAUGAGAAUUAUAUAAGCAGAAGCAAUGUGUAAAUACUGAUUUGCACUUUGAAUUAUGAUAGUGAUAAAUUUUAAUGUGUUAAUAAGGAACAUAAGUUCAGAGACUUUGUAUAAUAGAAGUUUUCUAUUGAAAUGAGAAAUGAUAUAAGUAUUUUGAUGCUAAUAUGGUGAUGUUGACUUGUACUGCUUGAAUUUGAAUGAGGUACACAAAUCCAGAGACUGGAUACAUAGGAUUCUUUAUUUAAUGAUUGAUGAUAUAAGUAUGUUGUCGUCGAUAUGUUCAUAUUGACUUGUAAUAUUGAAAUUUGAAUGUAUUGAUAAAGUAUGUGUAAGAUAGGAACCGAGACUGGAUAUAAGGAAUUGUUUAUUUGAUGGGGAACUAUAUAAAUGAAUUCAUGUCAAUAUGUUGAUUUUGACUUGUAUUGCUUGAAUUUGAAUGUAUUGGUAAGGUAACUACACAAGUCCGGAGACUGGAUAUAGAGAAUUGUUUAUUUAAUGGGGAAUGAUAAAAGUAUAUUGAUGUCAAAAUGUUGAUGUUGACUUGUAAUCGUUGAAUUUGAAUGUAUUUAUAAAGAAAUAAAUCCAGAGACUGGAUAUAAAACAUGUCGAUUAUUGAAAUAGGAAAUGACAUAAGUAUAUAGAUGGCAAUAUGUUGAUGUUGACUUGAAAUGGUUGAAUUUGAAUGUAUUUAUAAAGAAUAUAGAUCCAGAGACUGGAUAUAAAUAAAGUUGAUUAUUGAAAUAGGAUAUGAUAUAAGUAUAUAGAUGCCAAUAUGUUGAUGUUUACUUGUAAUGGUUGAAUUUGAAUGUAUUUAUAAAGAAAUAAAUCCAAAGACUGGAUAUAAAACAAGUCGAUUAUUUAAAUAGGAAAAUAUAUAAGUAUAUAGAUGCCAAUAUGUUGAUGUUGACUUGUCAUGGUUAAAUUUGAAUGUAUUGAUAAGGUACAUAAGUCGAGAGACUUGAUAGAAGGAUCUUGAUGUCAAUUUGUUAACAUGACUAGAAGGCGUAGAUAGCUCCAAAUAGGAGUGAAUUCCUCGUUGCAGUCACAGUGAUAGUAAGAUUAACUUACUCUGUUAAACUUGAAUGUUUUGAUAAAGUAUACAAGUCCAAAUACUAGACGUGAAGUUGUUUACCGUAGUAAGAAUUUGUACAAGUAUAUGGUUGCCAAUUUGUUAAAAUGGCAAUGUACACAAGUCACAGUUUGGAUUCAAAAUGAAAUGAAAUGAAAAUAUUCGCAGAAAUUGUUUAUCGUAGUGAGAGUUUAUGCAAUUAUAUUGUUGACGAUUUGUUAGCAUGGCUGGAAGGCGUGGAUGGCUCCAGUUGGAGUGAAGGCCACGAUGCAGUCCUAGUUAAAGAUACGACUCUGGAAGGUUGGCACGAUCGUGAAGCCUUGUUGGUGGACAUCCUCUUGGCUUUGCGGUGAGGGGUCAAAUGCAGAUGUCGUGAGUUGAGAUUGGCUGGAAGGCGUGGAUGGCUCCAGUUGGAGUGAAGGCCACGAUGCAGUCCGUCCUAGUUAAAGAUACGACUCUGGAAGGUUGGCACGAUCGUGAAGCCUUGUUGGUGGACAUCCUCUUGGCUUUGCGGUGAGGGGUCAAAUGCAGAUGUCGUGAGUUGAGAUUGGCUGGAAGGCGUGGAUGGCUCCAGUUGGAGUGAAGGCCACGAUGCAGUCCUAGUUAAAGAUACGACUCUGGAAGGUUGGCACGAUCGUGAAGCCUUGUUGGUGGACAUCCUCUUGGCUUUGCGGUGAGGGUCAAAUGCAGAUGUCGUGAGUUGAGAUUGGCUGGAAGGCGUGGAUGGCUCCAGUUGGAGUGAAGGCCACGAUGCAGUCCGUCCUAGUUAAAGAUACGACUCUGGAAGGUUGGCACGAUCGUGAAGCCUUGUUGGUGGACAUCCUCUUGGCUUUGCGGUGAGGGGUCAAAUGCAGAUGUCGUGAGUUGAGAUUGGCUGGAAGGCGUGGAUGGCUCCAGUUGGAGUGAAGGCCACGAUGCAGUCCGUCCUAGUUAAAGAUACGACUCUGGAAGGUUGGCACGAUCGUGAAGCCUUGUUGGUGGACAUCCUCUUGGCUUUGCGGUGAGGGUCAAAUGCAGAUGUCGUGAGUUGAGAUUGGCUGGAAGGCGUGGAUGGCUCCAGUUGGAGUGAAGGUCACGAUGCAGUCCGUCCUAGUUAAAGAUACGACUCUGGAAGGUUGGCACGAUCGUGAAGCCUUGUUGGUGGACAUCCUCUUGGCUUUGCGGUGAGGGGUCAAAUGCAGAUGUCGUGAGUUGAGAUUGGCUGGAAGGCGUGGAUGGCUCCAGUUGGAGUGAAGGCCACGAUGCAGUCCGUCCUAGUUAAAGAUACGACUCUGGAAGGUUGGCACGAUCGUGAAGCCUUGUUGGUGGACAUCCUCUUGGCUUUGCGGUGAGGGGUCAAAUGCAGAUGUCGUGAGUUGAGAUUGGCUGGAAGGCGUGGAUGGCUCCAGUUGGAGUGAAGGCCACGAUGCAGUCCGUCCUAGUUAAAGAUACGACUCUGGAAGGUUGGCACGAUCGUGAAGCCUUGUUGGUGGACAUCCUCUUGGCUUUGCGGUGAGGGGUCAAAUGCAGAUGUCGUGAGUUGAGAUUGGCUGGAAGGCGUGGAUGGCUCCAGUUGGAGUGAAGGCCACGAUGCAGUCCGUCCUAGUUAAAGAUACGACUCUGGAAGGUUGGCACGAUCGUGAAGCCUUGUUGGUGGACAUCCUCUUGGCUUUGCGGUGAGGGGUCAAAUGCAGAUGUCGUGAGUUUAGAUUGGCUGGAAGGCGUGGAUGGCUCCAGUAAGAGUGAAGGCCUCGAGGCAGUCCUAGGAACGCAGCUCUGUAAAGGUGGCACAGUCAUGAAUUCUUGCUGGCGAAUAACCUCUUGACUUUGACCUUUAACUUUGUACCAAAAUAUAAACCAAUUUGUAAAUGUGAACACCAUGUAGCAUUUUAAUUGUCACUUUACUCUCAUUUGUCUUUGCGAUUCUACAUGAUCUUCGCAUGCUUUUACUGUAUGUAUCAAUACAUACAAAUUGUAAUACUAUAUUAUUUUUAAAAAGAGUAACCAUGGAGUUUCUUGCCCGUUCUUCUCCAUAGGAAGCUACUUUUGGAAUGGGCAACUAGAAUCAAACUUAGUUAUAAUUUUGACGUCCAUAAGUGCUUGUAAAGGCCUAAAUGAAAUAAAUUAUUUGACUUUGACUUUGAGAAGUUUGAGGACAAACUUAGUGGUCAGAAUGGCCGAAUGUUAGACUAAUAUUAUCCUGUGUUGUUCUGUAUGUUAUAUUCUCUUUUCAUACAUUAAGGAACUAUACUAUAUUUACCGAAGUAUACUAAAUCAUUUUAGUUUUAUACGGACAACACUACCUCUACUGUGAGGACAACACUAAAAAGAGAUUUUGACAGUUAGAGCGCGCGCUUUUCCAUGCACUUCCUUCGUGGACUGAUAAACUAUGUUUUCUUACGAUUGAUAUUAAAUUGUGUUUUAAAAGUGAAUACAAGAAGUUAUAGUGAUA